Long non-coding RNA from Daphnia pulex (common water flea), 1486 nucleotides. RefSeq lists it as uncharacterized. NCBI's taxonomy places the organism in Eukaryota, Metazoa, Arthropoda, Branchiopoda, Diplostraca, Daphniidae. The transcript is spliced from 6 exons. The record is from RefSeq and is a predicted model, not a curated record.
AAUGUAUAGUCAAAUUUUAAAUAAUGUAGGCUUAUAAUCCUUUGAUUGUAAAUUAUUUUCCCUACUACGUAAAGCUGGUACAAUAGCAGUACGGUUUUUUAUAUACCGAAAAGCAUUCAGUCAUCAUGGAGUCCAGGAUGAUUUACGAUGUGAUGGUAGAACAAUGCUGGAUUAUCACCCUAUAAUUCUUGAAACUACAUUAGUUUCCAAUGCCAGUGGAUCGGCAAGGCUGAGACUUGCAAACUCAUCAACAUCUGGAAAAUGAAAUUUGCAAAUUCCUACAAAGAUCCUAUGCUUCAGAUUCUUGAAUGUGGAGUGAACCCUUAUGAUGCACUGUCAUUGGCUGAGAAAUCGGCUCUUUAUGCAACCCAAAUUCCAUUAAAAUAGCAACCAUGGACGGAUAUCAACAUGAACUGGAGCUCUCAGAUGAUCCUUAUGAUACCAAGAGACUAAACACAGAGAACAUUCCUAGUGUACUGACUUUGAUGAAGGAGGUGGUGUCCUGGUGGCACGUUGCGAACAUGACGCUGUCACCGUUGGAUCGGCUGGUGAUAACCAAUUUAUCAACAUCAAAGCUCUUAAUGAAUGGGACUCAAGGUUGUCUGGUGAAGUCGAAUGGCGCCAGAAACUGGACACUCAGCGAGGUGCUGUUCAGGCCAACGAGCUGAAUAAUGCAUGCAAGCUAGCAAAAUGGACUGUGCAAGCUCUGCUCGCCAACUCUGAUUGGAUUAAAUUCGGAUAUGUUUCCCGUAUACACAUACGAGAUACAUCGCGUCGUGUAAUCCUUGGAACACAGCAGUUCCACCCGUCAGAUUUCGCAUCACAAAUCAACCUUAACAUCGACAAUGCUUGGGGCAUUCUCCGUUGGAUUAAUGAUUUGUGUAUGAAGGAAGAGGAUGGCAAAUAUUUGUUGGUGAACGAUCCUAACAAGCCCGUCAUCCGCCUUUACAAGGUGCCCGAUAACACGUUUGAGAGCGACGAUGAAGCAUUUUUCGGAGAAGGUUUGAAACCAAUCAAUAUCGUAACGUGCGUGUGUAACUGCUGGCUUGCUUUUUUUGCUUGGGUGUUGGCCUCUCUUUUUUUUUACUAGCAAAGAUUAAAUAAACACGUCCAAGCAGUUAAUCAAAUUUCCCUGCAUUUGUACGCCGUGUUACGUUUUGCUUGAAUUCGUAGCUCGAGCUUUGUAUUUAUGUAUAAUAUCUAACCACUAGUGGAAGUGCUUGGCUUCUUGGGGGAAAAAAACCUAAUUAGAUAUGCGACAUGACUUAAGGUAGUUUUAAAAAAGGCGCUAUUAAACGCAUGAUUUCAUAACGUCAACUACGAAAUGGUAAAUAACAAUGUAUUCAUUUUUUACACAUGAAUAGAAGACGAGUAACGGCUGAUACAAACAAAAGAACAGCUCUUCCACCAAUUCCCAAAUCUACAACAAUACUACGUUUGUAAUGAUCGUUACAUGGAAUAAAGCACUUAUGAAGCUUCCAGUUUA